This is a long non-coding RNA of Pan troglodytes (chimpanzee), 989 nucleotides long. RefSeq lists it as uncharacterized. The record is from RefSeq and is a predicted model, not a curated record. NCBI's taxonomy places the organism in Eukaryota, Metazoa, Chordata, Mammalia, Primates, Hominidae. The transcript is spliced from 2 exons.
CACUUGGAGCCUGAUGAUGGAGUUUCCCCUUCUCAUCAAAUUCAUUCUUAUCUGCUGUGGUAUCUCUCAUUUUCCUUGUUCCCAGGCACAAUGAAGGGCAGGAUUAGAGUGCAGGGGCCAGCCAUGGCCUCCCGGGAGACUGGCCCCUAGCGCUACAGGAGGGCAGCGAGUGGCACAUGGCUCAGCCUUUGGCACUCAGAUCUGGCUGAAGAGGAACCACCGCAGCCCUCAUUUUACUGCCAUGCUUGUUCCUGCUUUCCUUCCGUGGUCACUGGACUUGUUCCAUGGAGCAGCUCUCCCCACCCAGCCUACAGGAAGGCAUGGAAGGUGGUACCUGGGAACUGCAGAUGGUGAUUUAGGUCACGGGGGCUCUGCUGUGGCCCCAAUGCUCCAGAUUAAGGCAACUGGCCAGUCAUUCCUGCAAUGCUUAAAUUUAUUCAUCUUUGAAACAGUACUGAAGGUACUCCUCUUUCCCAGAGAAAGGAAGAGAUGCAAUGAUUAUAUUGUGUUAAAAACUGGUCCACGAUCACCAGAAACUUUUCUACUCCUGUAAGAUGCUGUGUGGAGGAGCAGCAGGGUAUGCUUAGAAAGAGUCCUGGACUGGAAGUCAGAGGACUGAGGUUCGAGCCUGAGCUCCAUCACCACCAAGCUAUGUGAACUUGGUCAAAGCAGGGACCUCCUGAUAUCUCAGUGGUAAAACAAGGUCAUGAUUCUUGUUUCAUUCCUUUCCCAGGAAUACAGUGAGAAUUGAGUGAGAUAAGCUGAUGGCUAGGCUUCUAAACUGCAGAGCUGGGUUCCAGACACCCUAGACCACCCCCCCAAAAGGUGGAGUCUGAUCUUGUGUUGCGGACUUUGCAUAUGCUGCUCCCUCUGAAAGGCCCUUCUCUCCUCCUCUUCUACCUAGAAAAUACUCACCCUUCAAGACCCAACUUAAAAGUCAUUCUCCAAGAAGCUUAUCCAAAGCAAAACAAAGGAUUUCCUCCUCUGUG